CUCAUAGCGUAUAUUAAGUUGUUGCAGUUAAAAAGCUCGUAGUUGAACUUCUGGCUAUUCUUCCAGCUGGCUUCGGUCGCUGUAAGAGUGGUCAUCCGCUUGGGAACUACGUUCGAACUUCACUGUUCGGCGUAAGGAACAGGCAUUUUACUUAGAAAAAAUUAGAGUGUUCAAGGCAGGCUAUCGCCCUGAAUACACAAGCUUGGAAUAAUGAAAUAGGACUACUUCCAUUUUAUUGGUUAUUGGAAUUAGUAAUGAUUAAUAGGGACAGUUGGGGACAUUAGUAUUUAAUUGUCAGAGGUGAAAUUCUUGGAUUUAUUAAAGACUAACUUAUGCGAAAGCAUUUGUCAAGGAUGUUUUCAUUAAUCAAGAACGAAAGUUAGGGGAUCAAAGACGAUCAGAUACCGUCCUAGUCUUAACUAUAAACUAUACCGACUAGGGAUUGGCCGGGUCUCUUUAACCGGGUCAGCACCUUAUGAGAAAUCAAAGUCUAUGGGUUCUGGGGGGAGUAUGGUCGCA
Molecule: ribosomal RNA, 519 nt
Filed under: uncultured eukaryote
Lineage: Eukaryota
Description: SSU rRNA
Rfam family: Eukaryotic small subunit ribosomal RNA
Source: RNAcentral